GAGUUUGAUCGUGGCUCAGAUUGAACGCUGGCGGCAUGCCUUACACAUGCAAGUCGAACGGCAGCAUGAUCUAGCUUGCUAGAUUGAUGGCGAGUGGCGAACGGGUGAGUAAUACAUCGGAACGUGCCCUGUAGUGGGGGAUAACUAGUCGAAAGAUUAGCUAAUACCGCAUACGACCUGAGGGUGAAAGUGGGGGACCGCAAGGCCUCAUGCUAUAGGAGCGGCCGAUGUCUGAUUAGCUAGUUGGUGGGGUAAAGGCCCGACCAAGGCGACGAUCAGUAGCUGGUCUGAGAGGACGAUCAGCCACACUGGGACUGAGACACGGCCCAGACUCCUACGGGAGGCAGCAGUGGGGAAUUUUGGAC
Molecule: ribosomal RNA, 365 nt
Filed under: uncultured microorganism
Description: bacterial SSU rRNA
Rfam family: Bacterial small subunit ribosomal RNA
Source: RNAcentral